CUCCACCCCUAUGCUCCCCCUGAUUUCCGUAUAUAAACAGGGCAUGCACAAGAGGGAAAAGUGAUCAGAGGUGCUGAAAGAAUCAAUCAAACCGGAAGAGACGGCACAUACAAGAACCAACCGAAGAGGCUGAGGUAAAAUGAUACUAAAAUUGGUUCAAGCGUUCUUAAAUGUGCAAUUUUUGCAACAAAAAUAGCUUGUCUUACAGGAACAUUUGUACUCACAUAAAAGGAACAUCAAGAUUGCAUUGUUAAGGUAUUAGGAAACAAACACAAUUUUUAGGGUGGA
Long non-coding RNA from Rhodamnia argentea, 288 nucleotides. RefSeq lists it as uncharacterized. Lineage: Eukaryota; Viridiplantae; Streptophyta; Magnoliopsida; Myrtales; Myrtaceae. The record is from RefSeq and is a predicted model, not a curated record. The transcript is spliced from 2 exons.